Molecule: transfer RNA, 63 nt
Filed under: Isoscelipteron pectinatum
Lineage: Eukaryota; Metazoa; Arthropoda; Insecta; Neuroptera; Berothidae
Description: tRNA-His
Source: RNAcentral
ACUUAAAUAGUUUAUAAAAAUAUUGAUUUGUGGAAUCAAAGAUAUGAUUAAUCAUUUUAAGUA